GGGCGCUUAGCUCAGGGGUAGAGCGCACGCUUCGCAUGCGUGAGGUCGUGGGUUCAAUUCCCACAGCGUCCA
Molecule: transfer RNA, 72 nt
Filed under: Fistulina hepatica ATCC 64428
Lineage: Eukaryota; Fungi; Basidiomycota; Agaricomycetes; Agaricales; Fistulinaceae
Description: tRNA-Ala (CGC) (tRNA-Ala-CGC-2-1)
Rfam family: tRNA
About the family: Transfer RNA (tRNA) molecules are approximately 80 nucleotides in length. Their secondary structure includes four short double-helical elements and three loops (D, anti-codon, and T loops). Further hydrogen bonds mediate the characteristic L-shaped molecular structure. tRNAs have two regions of fundamental functional importance: the anti-codon, which is responsible for specific mRNA codon recognition, and the 3' end, to which the tRNAs corresponding amino acid is attached (by aminoacyl-tRNA synthetases). tRNAs cope with the degeneracy of the genetic code in two manners: having more than one tRNA (with a specific anti-codon) for a particular amino acid; and 'wobble' base-pairing, i.e. permitting non-standard base-pairing at the 3rd anti-codon position.
Source: RNAcentral